RNAcentral lists this ribosomal RNA (257 nucleotides) under uncultured Glomus. RNAcentral's name for it is "partial 18S ribosomal RNA". It matches the Rfam family "Eukaryotic small subunit ribosomal RNA", at positions 624 to 885 of the family's 1831-position model. Lineage: Eukaryota; Fungi; Glomeromycota; Glomeromycetes; Glomerales; Glomeraceae. The record is from RNAcentral.
AAGCUCGUAGUUGAAUUUCGGGGUUAGUAGGUUGGUCAUGCCUCUGGUAUGUACUGGUCUCACUGAUUCCUCCUUCCUGAUGAACCGUAAUGCCAUUAAUUUGGUGUUGCGGGGAAUUUGGACUGUUACUUUGAAAAAAUUAGAGUGUUUAAAGCAAGCUAACGCUUGAAUACAUUAGCAUGGAAUAAUGAAAUAGGACGUUCGAUCCUAUUUUGUUGGUUUCUAGGAUUGACGUAAUGAUUAAUAGGAUAGUUGGG